RNAcentral lists this ribosomal RNA (497 nucleotides) under uncultured bacterium. RNAcentral's name for it is "partial 16S ribosomal RNA". It matches the Rfam family "Bacterial small subunit ribosomal RNA", at positions 28 to 507 of the family's 1533-position model. The record is from RNAcentral.
GAUGAACGCUGGCGGCGUGCCUAAUACAUGCAAGUCGAGCGAACGGACGAGAAGCUUGCUUCUCUGAUGUUAGCGUCGGACGGGUGAGUAACACGUGGAUAACCUACCUAUAAGACUGGGAUAACUUCUGGAAACCGGAGCUAAUACCGGAUGAUAUUUUUAACCGCAUGUUUCAAAUGUGAAAGACGGUCUUGCUGUCACUUAUAGAUUGAUCCGCGCUGCAUUAGCUAGUUGGUAAGGUAACGGCUUACCAAGGCAACGAUGAAUAGCCGACCUGAGAGGGUGAUCGGCAACACUGGAACUGAGACACGGUCAAGACUCCUACGGAAGGCAGCAGUAGGGAAUCUUCCGCAAUGGGCAAAAGCCUGACGGAGCAACGCGGCGUGAGUGAGGAAGGUCUUCGGAUCGUAAAACUCUGUUAUUUGGGAAGAACAUAGGUGUAAGUAACAGUGCACAUCUUGACGGUACCUAAUCAGAAAGACACGGCUAACUACGUG